AUAAGAUAAUUCAAACUUAAUUAUCUACUAAUAACCUACAUGAAUAAGAUUCAUGAGACUCUAAUUGUUGAGUGUCUAAGAUUAUGAAUCAUAUGAAUUAAGGAUACAAGUCUCUAAUUAAUUUCCUUGAUAGUUUAUCUUGGGCGCCACCUUGAUUUGUUCAAGUUGGGCAUAUUCUAUAAUUAGAGAGCAUUUUGAUCUUAUAUGGGGCAUCUUUUGGGUGUGUUUUGGGGUAUGAAAUAAUGGGUGCAAGGGCUCCAAGAGUUGGCAUCUAAUAGGAUUCCUAAUAUAAGUUAAAUAACUUAAGUUAUUAGGAAACUUAAUGCAAGUAGGACUUGUAUUAUGAGAUUGAAUAGGAUUCAAUCCUCAUGCCUAUUUAAAGGGACCUCUCCUAAGGUCCCUAGAGUAUAAAAACCAGCAGCCCUCCAUGCCAAGAAGGUCGCCCCAUGCCCUCCCUUUCUCUCUCUUCUCCUUCUCCCUUGGUGUCCCACACGCCCCACCAUUGUUGGGCAUCCCAAGUUCUUCACGCCUAAGGCUGUUGGGUGUCCCAUUCUUGCUGGUUUCUACCUACUGGUAGCAACAUAAAUCAAGGG
This 593-nucleotide long non-coding RNA is filed under the name Elaeis guineensis (African oil palm). Its description in RNAcentral is "long non-coding RNA (EGUI_LNC049491)". Lineage: Eukaryota; Viridiplantae; Streptophyta; Magnoliopsida; Arecales; Arecaceae. The record is from RNAcentral.